GUGGUGUAGCUCAGUGAUAGUGUGCUUGCCUAUUAUGUGCAAGACCCUGGUUUCAAUUCCCAGUACUACA
This 70-nucleotide transfer RNA is filed under the name Marmota monax (woodchuck). RNAcentral describes it as "tRNA.Asn". The record is from RNAcentral. Lineage: Eukaryota; Metazoa; Chordata; Mammalia; Rodentia; Sciuridae.